RNAcentral lists this non-coding RNA (279 nucleotides) under Nosema bombycis CQ1. RNAcentral describes it as "Microsporidia small subunit ribosomal RNA". It matches the Rfam family "Microsporidia small subunit ribosomal RNA", at positions 1015 to 1311 of the family's 1311-position model. The record is from Rfam by way of RNAcentral. Lineage: Eukaryota; Fungi; Microsporidia; Nosematidae.
GGUCGUUAUGCCCUAAGAUAAUCUGGGUUGCACGCGCAAUACAAUAAUAUUUGAUAUUAUAAGGGGAUAGGAGAAUGUAAGAUAUAUUUAGAACAUGGAAUUGCUAGUAAAUUUUAUUUAAUAAGUAGAAUUGAAUGAGUCCCUGUUCUUUGUACACACCGCCCGUCGCUAUCUAAGAUGGUAUUAUCUAUGAACAAAUUUAUAAAGUGAAUAGAUAGUACUAGAUCUGAUAUAAGUCGUAACAUGGUUGCUGUUGGAGAACCAUUAGCAGGAUCAUAA